AGAGUUUGAUCAUGGCUCAGGAUGAACGCUGGCGGCGUGCUUAACACAUGCAAGUCGAACGGACUUUUAUUGAAACCUGGUGAUAUGAAAGUUAGUGGCGGACGGGUGAGUAACGCGUGGGUAACCUGCCGUAUACAGGGGGAUAACACUUAGAAAUAGGUGCUAAAACCGCAUAAGCGCACAGCUUCGCAUGAAGCAGUGUGAAAAACUCCGGUGGUAUACGAUGGACCCGCGUCUGAUUAGCCAGUUGGCAGGGUAACGGCCUACCAAAGCGACGAUCAGUAGCCGGCCUGAGAGGGUGAACGGCCACAUUGGGACUGAGACACGGCCCAAACUCCUACGGGAGGCAGCAGUGGGGAAUAUUGCACAAUGGGGGAAACCCUGAUGCAGCGACGCCGCGUGAGUGAAGAAGUAUUUCGGUAUGUAAAGCUCUAUCAGCAGGGAAGAAAAUGACGGUACCUGAGAAAGAAGCCCCGGCUAACUACGUGCCAGCAGCCGCGGUAAUACGUAGGGGGCAAGCGUUAUCCGGAUUUACUGGGUGUAAAGGGAGCGUAGACGGUUGUGCAAGUCUGGAGUGAAAUGCGGGGGCUCAACCCCUGAACUGCUUUGGAAACUGUGUAACUGGAGUGCAGGAGAGGUAAGUGGAAUUCCUAGUGUAGCGGUGAAAUGCGUAGAUAUUAGGAGGAACACCAGUGGCGAAGGCGGCUUACUGGACUGUAACUGACGUUGAGGCUCGAAAGCGUGGGGAGCAAACAGGAUUAGAUACCCUGGUAGUCCACGCCGUAAACGAUGAUUACCAG
This 800-nucleotide ribosomal RNA is filed under the name uncultured bacterium. Its description in RNAcentral is "bacterial SSU rRNA". It matches the Rfam family "Bacterial small subunit ribosomal RNA", at positions 8 to 819 of the family's 1533-position model. The record is from RNAcentral.